This 253-nucleotide ribosomal RNA is filed under the name uncultured bacterium. Its description in RNAcentral is "partial 16S ribosomal RNA". It matches the Rfam family "Bacterial small subunit ribosomal RNA", at positions 524 to 776 of the family's 1533-position model. The record is from RNAcentral.
UACAGAGGUCUCAAGCGUUGUUCGGAUUCAUUGGGCGUAAAGGGUGCGUAGGCGGCGGUGCAAGUCCGAUGUGAAAUACCGGGGCUCAACCCCGGAACUGCAUUGGAUACUGCAUUGCUAGAGUACUGGAGAGGGAACUGGAAUUUACGGUGUAGCAGUGAAAUGCGUAGAUAUCUGGAGGAACACCGGUGGCGAAGGCGGCAUCCUGGACCGGCAUUGACGCUGAGGCGCGAAAGCUAGGGGAGCAAACGGG